RNAcentral lists this transfer RNA (59 nucleotides) under Camelus bactrianus (Bactrian camel). It matches the Rfam family "tRNA", at positions 7 to 64 of the family's 71-position model. Rfam says of the family: Transfer RNA (tRNA) molecules are approximately 80 nucleotides in length. Their secondary structure includes four short double-helical elements and three loops (D, anti-codon, and T loops). The record is from Rfam by way of RNAcentral. RNAcentral also lists the same sequence under 2 other names. Lineage: Eukaryota; Metazoa; Chordata; Mammalia; Artiodactyla; Camelidae.
AUAACUCAGUGGUAGAGUGCAUGCUUAGCAAGUGUGGGGUCUUGGAUUCAAUUUCCAGU